AGCGGGGUACGCAACUGGCGAUAGGCGCGCAAGGCCCAUGGGCCCCGCCGCUGACGUGGAGACCGGCAGAAAGCCCUGUUUUUCUGCAAACCACUGGGGAGCGUGCCGCGCGGAUGAGCAGCCAAGCCCCGCAGCGAUCCGUCGUUCGCCUGGGCAGCCCUU
RNAcentral lists this non-coding RNA (162 nucleotides) under Alicycliphilus denitrificans K601. Its description in RNAcentral is "ZMP/ZTP riboswitch aptamer (pfl RNA motif)". It matches the Rfam family "ZMP/ZTP riboswitch aptamer (pfl RNA motif)". From Rfam's summary of the family: Previously known as pfl RNA. ZMP is also known as AICAR. Lineage: Bacteria; Pseudomonadati; Pseudomonadota; Betaproteobacteria; Burkholderiales; Comamonadaceae. The record is from Rfam by way of RNAcentral.